CCUGGAUUCACCUGGUCAGUCUAUGUCAUGGAAAGAGCAGGUGGUCCUAAUGUUUUGUACACACAGUGUACAAAUCAAAUUCAAACCUGAUUAUAUCUGUUGGGAAAAUGUCACACUCCUCAAGAUAGUCAAUGUAAGGUUUCCAGAUUAUAUCAAACUUUAUUUUUUUUUGCUUAAUUUGAUAAAACACAGAAUAUAUUGGAAUGUAACUAUGCAGUUCAGCCCUCCAGUUCGUCAUUGACGUCACUGGCCACUCAAUAACUAUUCUGGAGGGGUCAUCGACUGAAUACAUUGCGGUACAACAGCAGAACCGUUUUAUGUUGGAGGACGAGCAUUAUGAUGAGGAGACCAUCUCGGCGUCUUCCGAGAGGCCUUUUGAGAUGUGCAACUCUGCUGGACUUUACACUGCUGGACCCCCUAACUCUACUGGACCUUGCACUGCUGGACCCCCUAACUUUGCUUUGUAUAGCAAUCAAAGUGAAACCGUGUAGGGUUACUUUUGCUAAAUAUGGGUUGAGAAAAUUGACCAGAUACAUGAUUGAUUGUGCGGAAAAACGAUAACGUUCAAAAAUAAAUUCUUUUGAAUGAUCUAAAGGAUGUAUUCGAGGUCCAAUAAUUUGUACCCUUUGUAAAGCACGAUGAACAAUGCAG
RNAcentral lists this long non-coding RNA (651 nucleotides) under Salmo salar (Atlantic salmon). RNAcentral describes it as "lncRNA (ENSSSAG00000049654.2)". Lineage: Eukaryota; Metazoa; Chordata; Actinopteri; Salmoniformes; Salmonidae. The record is from RNAcentral.